This 446-nucleotide ribosomal RNA is filed under the name uncultured Actinomycetes bacterium. RNAcentral describes it as "bacterial SSU rRNA". It matches the Rfam family "Bacterial small subunit ribosomal RNA", at positions 335 to 793 of the family's 1533-position model. Lineage: Bacteria; Bacillati; Actinomycetota; Actinomycetes. The record is from RNAcentral.
ACUCCUACGGGAGGCAGCAGUGGGGAAUAUUGCGCAAUGGGCGGAAGCCUGACGCUGCGACGCCGCGUGGGGGAUGACGGCCUUCGGGUUGUAAACCUCUUUCAGCAGGGACGAAGCGCAAGUGACGGUACCUGCAGAAGAAGCGCCGGCUAACUACGUGCCAGCAGCCGCGGUAAUACGUAGGGCGCAAGCGUUGUCCGGAAUUAUUGGGCGUAAAGAGCUCGUAGGCGGUUUGUCGCGUCUGCUGUGAAAACUUCAGGCUCAACCUGGGGCUUGCAGUGGGUACGGGCAGACUAGAGUGCGGUAGGGGUGACUGGAAUUCCUGGUGUAGCGGUGGAAUGCGCAGAUAUCAGGAGGAACACCGAUGGCGAAGGCAGGUCACUGGGCCGCAACUGACGCUGAGGAGCGGAAGCAUGGGGAGCGAACAGGAUUAGAUACCCUGGUAG